AGUGAACGCUGGCGGUAGGCCUAACACAUGCAAGUCGAACGGCAGCACAGUAAGAGCUUGCUCUUACGGGUGGCGAGUGGCGGACGGGAGGGGAAUACAUCGGAAUCUACUUUUUCGUGGGGGAUAACGUAGGGAAACUUACGCUAAUACCGCAUACGACCUACGGGGGAAAGCAGGGGAUCUUCGGACCUUGCGCGAUUGAAUGAGCCGAUGUCGGAUUUGCUAGUUGGCGGGGUAAAGGCCCACCAAGGCGACGAUCCGUAGCUGGUCUGAGAGGAUGAUCAGCCACACUGGAACUGAGACACGGUCCAGACUCCUACGGGAGGCAGCAGUGGGGAAUAUUGGACAAAGGGCGCAAGCCUGAUCCAGCCAUACCGCGUGGGUGAAGAAGGCCUUCGGGUUGUAAAGCCCUUUUGUUGGGAAAGAAAAGCAGCAGGUUAAUACCCCGCUGUUCUGACGGUACCCAAAGAAUAAGCACCGGCUAACUUCGUG
RNAcentral lists this ribosomal RNA (492 nucleotides) under uncultured bacterium. Its description in RNAcentral is "partial 16S ribosomal RNA". It matches the Rfam family "Bacterial small subunit ribosomal RNA", at positions 29 to 507 of the family's 1533-position model. The record is from RNAcentral.